CCAAUAGCGUAUAUUAAAGUUGUUGCAGUUAAAAAGCUCGUAGUUGAAUUUCGGGGUCAGUAGGUUGGUCGUGCCACAGGUAUGAACUGGCCUCACUGAUUCCUCCUUCCUGAUGAACCGUAAUGCCAUUAAUUUGGUGUUGCGGGGAGACUGGACUGUUACUUUGAAAAAAUUAGAGUGUUUAAAGCAGGCUAACGCUUGAAUACAUUAGCAUGGAAUAAUGAAAUAGGACGUUCGGUCUUAUUUUGUUGGUUUCUAAGAUUGACGUAAUGAUUAAUAGGGAUAGUUGGGGGCAUUAGUAUUCAAUUGUCAGAGGUGAAAUUCUUGGAUUUAUUGAAGACUAACUACUGCGAAAGCAUUUGCCAAGGAUGUUUUCAUUAAUCAAGAACGAAAGUUAGGGGAUCGAAGACGAUCAGAUACCGUCGUAGUCUUAACCAUAAACUAUGCCGACUAGGGAUCGGAUGAUGUUAAUUUUUUAAUGACUCAUUCGGCGCCUUACG
Molecule: ribosomal RNA, 500 nt
Filed under: uncultured Glomeromycotina
Lineage: Eukaryota; Fungi; Glomeromycota
Description: partial small subunit ribosomal RNA
Rfam family: Eukaryotic small subunit ribosomal RNA
Source: RNAcentral